UGGCGAACGGGUGAGUAACACGUGGGUGAUCUGCCCUGCACUUCGGGAUAAGCCUGGGAAACUGGGUCUAAUACCGGAUAGGACGAUGGUUUGGAUGCCAUUGUGGAAAGUUUUUCGGUGUGGGAUGAGCUCGCGGCCUAUCAGCUUGUUGGUGGGGUAAUGGCCUACCAAGGCGACGACGGGUAGCCGGCCUGAGAGGGUGGACGGCCACAUUGGGACUGAGACACGGCCCAG
This 234-nucleotide ribosomal RNA is filed under the name uncultured Actinomycetales bacterium. RNAcentral describes it as "partial 16S ribosomal RNA". It matches the Rfam family "Bacterial small subunit ribosomal RNA", at positions 96 to 334 of the family's 1533-position model. Lineage: Bacteria; Bacillati; Actinomycetota; Actinomycetes; Actinomycetales. The record is from RNAcentral.